This is a long non-coding RNA of Oreochromis aureus, 410 nucleotides long. RefSeq lists it as uncharacterized. The record is from RefSeq and is a predicted model, not a curated record. The transcript has 3 exons. NCBI's taxonomy places the organism in Eukaryota, Metazoa, Chordata, Actinopteri, Cichliformes, Cichlidae.
CAGUGAGACAAAAGUAACAAAUGAGCUUUAUUAUUGCCAUUGUGGCUCAGUUUUAACAGUAAGAGUGCUAGCGCUAGCAGCAUUGCUAAUGCUAGCUGCAAUGCUAACGCUAGCUGCAGUGCUAACACUAACUGAAGUGCUAAUGCUAGCCGGAAUGCUAGCGCUAGCAGCAAUGCUAAGGCUAGUAACAGUCGAACAGUAGCCUUACAUAAGUGGAAAUACUUCAGGAACUUGACUGACAUCUGUGCUUUGCCUGUGUGCAGAAGAACAAGGACCAGAUCUCCAGUCUUCUCUGUCACAUCCCAACCCCCAUCCCCUCUAUCCUCUGUCCUGCUCCACCUGUUGUCUCUGCCUUCUUUCCAUCUGUAUUUCACCCUGUGGUUUGUGAGAAAUUUUGCCAAACCAAGAAU